Molecule: long non-coding RNA, 230 nt
Filed under: Homo sapiens (human)
Lineage: Eukaryota; Metazoa; Chordata; Mammalia; Primates; Hominidae
Description: non-protein coding TMEM161B-AS1:45
Source: RNAcentral
CCAGACACCACCGAGAGACACAGGGCUUUUUAGCGUUCACUGUAUUUUCACUUCCACCGGAUCCAAUGUGAUAAUUUAUGUGAAAUCUUUCUGCAAACUAUACAGUAUGAUAAAAAUAUAAGGUAGUUUCACUGGAAACAACAGAAGACUAGAAGCUGAUGUGACGUGGCAAUAUCAACCAGGAGUGGGUGGACAUUUGGCAUCCAGGAUGUGGUUCCAAGCUUGAGCCA